UACCAUGCAGUCGAGCGGUAACAGAGAGUAGCUUGCUACUUUGCUGACGAGCGGCGGACGGGUGAGUAAUGCUUGGGAACAUGCCUUGAGGUGGGGGACAACAGUUGGAAACGACUGCUAAUACCGCAUAAUGUCUACGGACCAAAGGGGGCUUCGGCUCUCGCCUUUAGAUUGGCCCAAGUGGGAUUAGCUAGUUGGUGAGGUAAUGGCUCACCAAGGCGACGAUCCCUAGCUGGUUUGAGAGGAUGAUCAGCCACACUGGGACUGAGACACGGCCCAGACUCCAACGGGAGGCAGCAGUGGGGAAUAUUGCACAAUGGGCGCAAGCCUGAUGCAGCCAUGCCGCGUGUGUGAAGAAGGCCUUCGGGUUGUAAAGCACUUUCAGUCAGGAGGAAAGGUUAGUAGUUAAUACCUGCUAGCUGUGACGUUACUGACAGAAGAAGCACCGGCUAACUCCGUGCCAGCAGCCGCGGUAA
Molecule: ribosomal RNA, 476 nt
Filed under: uncultured Pseudoalteromonas sp.
Lineage: Bacteria; Pseudomonadati; Pseudomonadota; Gammaproteobacteria; Alteromonadales; Pseudoalteromonadaceae
Description: bacterial SSU rRNA
Rfam family: Bacterial small subunit ribosomal RNA
Source: RNAcentral